GCCCUACUAGAGAAAUGGUUAACUCGUCGGCCUCCUAUUAAGUUAGUAACGAUAGCCGAAGAUUCUCAGUUCGAGUCUGAGGUGGGGUG
This is a non-coding RNA of Xylariomycetidae sp. FL2044, 89 nucleotides long. Lineage: Eukaryota; Fungi; Ascomycota; Sordariomycetes. The record is from the annotation of a GenBank genome assembly.